AGAGUUUGAUCCUGGCUCACGAUGAACGCUAGCGGCAGGCCUAAUACAUGCAAGUCGAACGGUGUCUUCGGACAUAGUGGCGCACGGGUGCGUAACACGUAUGCACUACACCUACCUUACAUUGGGGGAUAGCCUUUCGAAAGGGAGAUUAAUACCGCAUAAGACAGUAGCUGGGCAUCCAGCAGCUGUUAAAGAUUUAUCGAUGUAAGCUGGGCAUGCGUCCAAUUAGCUAGUUGGUGAGGUAAUGGCUCACCAAGGCUGUGAUUGGUAGGGGAACUGAGAGGUCAAUCCCCCACACUGGCACUGAGAUACGGGCCAGACUCCUACGGGAGGCAGCAGUAGGGAAUAUUGGGCAAUGGACGCAAGUCUGACCCAGCCAUGCCGCGUGCAGGAUGAAGGCGUUACGCGUUGUAAACUGCUUUUAUACAGGAAGAAACGACUCUUGCGAGAGGCAUUGACGGUACUGUAUGAAUAAGCACCGGCUAACUCCGUGCCAGCAGCCGCGGUAAUACGGAGGGUGCAAGCGUUGUCCGGAUUUAUUGGGUUUAAAGGGUGCGCAGGUGGUUUAUUAAGUCAGUGGUGAAAGACGGUCGCUCAACGAUUGCAGUGCCAUUGAAACUGGUAGACUUGAGUAAAGUAGAGGUGGGCGGAAUUGAUAGUGUAGCGGUGAAAUGCAUAGAUAUUAUCAAGAACUCCAAUUGCGUAGGCAGCUCACUUGGCUUUUACUGACACUCAUGCACGAAAGUGUGGGUAUCAAACAGGAUUAGAUACCCUGGUAGUCCACACUGUAAACGAU
RNAcentral lists this ribosomal RNA (796 nucleotides) under marine metagenome. Its description in RNAcentral is "bacterial SSU rRNA". It matches the Rfam family "Bacterial small subunit ribosomal RNA", at positions 8 to 810 of the family's 1533-position model. The record is from RNAcentral.